This 53-nucleotide non-coding RNA is filed under the name unclassified sequences. RNAcentral describes it as "Mu-gpT-DE RNA". It matches the Rfam family "Mu-gpT-DE RNA". The record is from Rfam by way of RNAcentral.
CCCUGACAGCCGCAUGGUGCGUCUGACAUUUGCCACGACAGGAGAAUCACAUG